CAUUCUAUUUAGCCACGAAACAUUUUGUAGCAAGUAUAUUUUAGUCGGGAUUCCUCUCAUCAUGGAGUACAUUUGUACAUACUAGUAUGUGAAAUUUUUUAAAUUUAAAAACAAUGACCUAAAUUUUUUUAACAAAAUUAAAACAACCGCCUUAAAUAAAAAAAUAGCCGCCUAAAAUAAAAAGUUCCCACUAAAUUAUACCUACACUCUUACGUUCCCUCUAGUCUGACAAAAAAAAAAUAAAAGAAAAACCUACAACAUAAGCAGAAGUUCCUUCAACCUUCAAAAUUUCUUUUUCUACCUUAAGUUUUAUUUUUUUUCUUCACCUAUUGAAGAUAUUGUUGGCCACCGCUCAAUUUAAUCUUUCAAUUGUUCAAUCAUUGAUGCUGGGAUUCCUUAAUUGCGGUUAGAUUUCAAUUGCUGCAAUUCGGGUAUUAUUAUUUAUUCAGUGGAAAGGACUUUCAGGAAUCAGAGACAAGGUUUAAUGAUGGAGAAAGUUGGAAUUAAUACUUCUGACAAGAAUAGUGGCCAACAAAAUGAGUAUGAACAACAAAGGUUAAAGAGGAUUCAGGAUAAUAAGUAUAGAAUGCAAUCCUUGGGUAUCAAGCGCAUUUCAGCAUCCUUGACAAGUUUAGUGGAAAGCAAAAAAGAAAAUAAGAAGAUGAAGA
Long non-coding RNA from Chenopodium quinoa (quinoa), 668 nucleotides. RefSeq lists it as uncharacterized. The transcript has 3 exons. Lineage: Eukaryota; Viridiplantae; Streptophyta; Magnoliopsida; Caryophyllales; Amaranthaceae. The record is from RefSeq and is a predicted model, not a curated record.